Molecule: unclassified non-coding RNA, 347 nt
Filed under: soil metagenome
Description: partial contains 5.8S ribosomal RNA, internal transcribed spacer 2, and large subunit ribosomal RNA
Rfam family: 5.8S ribosomal RNA (bases 1-119)
Source: RNAcentral
GAUGAAAACGUAGCGAAAUGCGAUAAGUAAUGUGAAUUGCAGAAUUCAGUGAAUCAUCGAGUCUUUGAACGCACAUUGCGCCCCCUGGUAUUCCGGGGGGCAUGCCUGUCCGAGCGUCAUUGCUGCCCUCAAGCACGGCUUGUGUGUUGGGCCCCCGUCCCCGGUUUCCCCCGGGGACGGGCCCGAAAGGCAGCGGCGGCACCGCGUCCGGUCCUCGAGCGUAUGGGGCUUUGUCACCCGCUCUGUAGGCCCGGCCGGCGCCAGCCGACACCCAACUUUAUUUCUAAGGUUGACCUCGGAUCAGGUAGGGAUACCCGCUGAACUUAAGCAUAUCAAUAAGCGGAGGA